CGCAUGGGGUGUGGGAAAGCUUUCGUGGCAUGGGAUGGGGUCGCGUCCUAUCAGCUUGUUGGCGGGGUGAGGGCCCACCAAGGCUUCGACGGGUAGCCGGCCUGAGAGGGCGACCGGCCACAUUGGGACUGAGAUACGGCCCAGACUCCUACGGGAGGCAGCAGUGGGGAAUAUUGCACAAUGGGCGCAAGCCUGAUGCAGCGACGCCGCGUGAGGGAUGGAGGCCUU
This 228-nucleotide ribosomal RNA is filed under the name Bifidobacterium sp. 397. RNAcentral's name for it is "partial 16S ribosomal RNA". It matches the Rfam family "Bacterial small subunit ribosomal RNA", at positions 187 to 418 of the family's 1533-position model. The record is from RNAcentral. Lineage: Bacteria; Bacillati; Actinomycetota; Actinomycetes; Bifidobacteriales; Bifidobacteriaceae.